CCGCAGAGGCUCCUCCGGCGCAGGCCGAGCUUUCACUCGAGCUCGCGAAGUCGGUUGAAGCCAUGUCGCGCGAAAUCGCGACCCUCAAAGAAACCGUAGAGCAGUUGCAGGCCGGCCAGCGGCAGCUGAGCCGUGAUGUCGCGAAANCAGAGCAGACAGCGACCCGCAAGCCCGUUGCACAGGCCGCAAAACCGGCUCCAUCUUCGCG
RNAcentral lists this unclassified non-coding RNA (208 nucleotides) under Hevea brasiliensis (rubber tree). Lineage: Eukaryota; Viridiplantae; Streptophyta; Magnoliopsida; Malpighiales; Euphorbiaceae. The record is from RNAcentral.